This is a long non-coding RNA of Oncorhynchus tshawytscha (Chinook salmon), 1176 nucleotides long. The record is from Ensembl. NCBI's taxonomy places the organism in Eukaryota, Metazoa, Chordata, Actinopteri, Salmoniformes, Salmonidae.
CGGAGCCUGGAUUGAAGCACAUGUGCGCAGUCUCCUCCCUUUCUCCCGGGAAGUAGUAUUUACCGCAGCCCAACUGCGGGUUGGGAACAUUCAGGAUGUCAUCAUCUGAACAGAAUACAGCUCACAGGGAUCAGUCUCUCCAGCCUCUUGAUCCAGUCAAGCGUUUAUUUGGCACCGAUAAUGAAGUGUAUCUGGAGAGCGAAUUGUGAAACGUUGAACUUCUGUUUUUAUAUUGAUUUUAUUUGUUUACAUUUUAUUAUGUGAGUGUUAUUACAUAUGUCGACUUUGGACUAAACACAGCGGACCUGCGUUGUUUGGUGUGCUAGUGAUUUGGUGCUCGUGCUUGAACCGUGUAUCUGGAUGAAAUAAGAGUUUGAGGUUCUAAAACUAGACAUCAGUGGCGUGUUUUUCGGUGUGUCCCCGAUCGUGGUCAGUGCUGUACAGCGGUUCAUGGUCACCCGUGCGUAACCAAUCACAUGGCCGCUCUGGAGUGAAGCAAGCCUCGCCACAGAACCACAGGUCGACCCACUCCCGUUCUCCACACCGCAGCGAUGCCUCCCGGUGUUGUAGCCCCGUCUCCACGGAGCUCUCCGGUCCGGUGCUUCUACGCCUUGACACCGUACUUCAUAGAGGACUCUGUCAUUUCCCAGAGCAAGAUUGAUCAGCUGGUCGUACAGAGACAGAGGACACUGGUUCAUCCACACAGGGUCGUACAGAGACAGAGGACACUGGUUCAUCCACACAGGGUCGUACAGAGACAGAGGACACUGGUUCAUCCACACAGGGUGAGACAGAGGACACUGGUUCAUCCACACAGGGUCGUACAGAGACAGAGGACACUGGUUCAUCCACACAGGGUCGUACAGAGACAGAGGACACUGGUUCAUCCACACAGGGUCGUACAGAGACAGAGGACACUGAAUCAAGCAGCCUACCAGAUGAUACGAAGUGCUCAUUGAAACAAUUCAGCAUUUCAGUUUUGUCAUUUUCAGUACAUGUGACGGUAAUUUCAUUAACAUUACUGUUACCAGACAGACUUAAUAGCCUUCCAGAACGUUCUAGGGUCAUUCAGGUUCAGUGGUAACACAUACAAUAUUCAGACUUGGCCUUCCUGAGAUGAAAAUGACACGUUUCGUAACUGGCUAAAAAGAAGCCAAUCAGCAUCAGAACAUGAUU